RNAcentral lists this ribosomal RNA (455 nucleotides) under uncultured organism. Its description in RNAcentral is "partial 16S ribosomal RNA". It matches the Rfam family "Bacterial small subunit ribosomal RNA", at positions 329 to 798 of the family's 1533-position model. The record is from RNAcentral.
ACGUACACUCCUGCGGGAGGCAGCAGUGGGGAAUUUUACGCAAUGGGGGAAACCCUGACGUAGCGACACCGCGUGAGCGAAGAAGCCCUUUGGGGUGUAAAGCUCUGUCAGCUGGAACGAAAACAAUGACGGUACCAGCAGAGGAAGCAUCGGCUAACUACGUGCCAGCAGCCGCGGUAAGACGUAGGAUGCGAGCGUUGUCCGGAUUUAUUGGGCGUAAAGAGUUCGUAGGUGGUUUGUUAAGUUUGGUGUUAAAGAUCGGGGCUCAACCCUGGGACUGCACUGAAUACUGGCAGACUCGAGUGUGGUAGAGGCUAGUGGAAUUCCCAGUGUAGCGGUGAAAUGCGUAGAUAUUGGGAAGAACACCGGUGGCGUAGGCGACUAGCUGGGCCAUAACUGACGCUGAGGAACGAAAGCCAGGGGAGCGAAUGGGAUUAGAUACCCGGGUAGUCCCA